AAGUAUAUGUGAAGCAUAGCAGGCACAUAAAAGAAUAAAUAUGUAUAUGUGGCACAUAAGUUAGUAAUAGAUAGCAAUAUUGAAUAAAUAUCCAGAACACUUGUCCUAGCUGCUGGUUUAUACGUGUUCCUAACACCAGUUGUGAUAAACAAAGAAGUAAAAUAAAUAUGAAUAGAAACAAGUAUGAAAGGUAGAAAUGGAAAUAUGGACAAGGCAAAUGACACCACAAACAAUAGAGCUAUUGAGUGUUCCCUGUGUGCUCCUUUUUUGAUCUCUUCUCUUUUCUUUUACUAUUUUUUCUUUUCUUUUUUUGUCCAAACUUUUUUCUUGCUUUUGCUCGUUUGAUAUUUUUUCUUAGCAAGAAGCACACAAGGACAAACCAUAAAAAAUUUGAGCUCAACUGGAUAAAAGAUGCAGCCUAUAGAAAAUUAGAAUUAUGCUCCAAAAAGCAUACCAAAAUUUGUGGGCCUGGAAACUCAAUUUUCCUAAUCAAAUUUCACAAAUCUAAUUUUUAUGAACCUAGCUUUGCUGAGAUAAAAUAGAUCUAAAAUUUUCUAGCAUUCUCCGUAGAUAUAAAAUUCACCCUGUUUCAAGUUAUGAUAGUUUUUAGGAAACUGGUUGAAUCAGGGUUUUAGUGGACACAAGAUGCAAACAGAUCAUGACACAGGAUGGUGGCGGAUGGAAUGAUUAACACAAACUAGAAAAGAACACAAUCUAAACCAGCAACAAGACCUUAACCUAGGAUGCAAACUCAAUACGAUGGACUCUGAAAUUGAAAUAUGCAAGGCUAUGGUGCGGAUGGUUGUAGGACGGGAAACAAAUAUGGCAGUGGACUAUGGGAUGAAGUAAAAUCAACUAAACUAGGGUAAAUAUGAUCUUGACGGUAUACCUGAAGCUUUGAAUACCAAAUAAUUGGGACAGGGGUUCCCGAUCUUCCGUCAGGUUCAAGAUAAACACUACUACACAACUGUUGAACGUGACGGGCACUUUACAUUUACCGCAGUGGGCAUUGGCGUCCGCCACGAAUGAAAGGUCACAGUUAAUUGUGGCCUCACCAUGGCAGGCGCCUGUGCCC
RNAcentral lists this long non-coding RNA (1075 nucleotides) under Sorghum bicolor (sorghum). RNAcentral describes it as "long non-coding RNA (SBIC_LNC003124)". Lineage: Eukaryota; Viridiplantae; Streptophyta; Magnoliopsida; Poales; Poaceae. The record is from RNAcentral.